UCUGAACUGCUUCCUUCAGAGCUUGUGCAGCCCCUACCAGACAUAAGAGGGGCCAAAGCCAGAAAAUGAGCAUGAAAACAAAGCACUGAAGUCUUGAGCUGUUCCUACUCCCUUUUCCCAUUGUCUCUAUCAGCCUGGUUUCAUGGAAAGCCCUUUUGGGGGAGAGCCAUUGGGUGCCCACAGAAAACCCACUCCCCAAAAUCUGUAGCGACCUGUCCUCUCUCUGUCGUGACUGCCUGGCGCUCUGCUUGCUUUAUUUCUGUCACCAGCUGAGCCGCUGGGAUGCCAGGCAUCACGGCUACUCACAGCACAGGAGAAAACUGAAGAAUUUAGCAAUUAACCAAAACUAGCAGAGUUUGCAUUUAAUACAAUAUUGACUUAAUAAAAAGGAUUUUUUUUGCAGGAUAUCCAGUGUCUCUCUGAUGAAGAAACACAGCAAGUACAUAAACCAAGCAGGAAAAAAGAGCCAAGUGAAUGUAUUCACUGGGCACGAGUAUGUCGUGGGACCAGAGUAAGGAGGUGGAGAAGACGAGGCAGGAGCCACAUAGGGCUUAAGAGAGGAGAGGUCUGGGAGCUCAGUGCGCGGACCAGCAGGACCCGGCCGGGUGGUUUGUUUUUAUAUGUAAAGAAUCAGCGUGCUUUGGAAGGAAUACUGCAGCUUUCACUUCUGAAAUAGCGCUGUGACUUAUAGCAAAUGCAAUUUGUUUCAACAUUUUUGCUAAGCCAAACCAUCGUGGUCUGUUUGUUUUGGAGAGGUGGGAAGCAAGCCGCGAGGACAGGCUGAAGGCUCUUUUUCUUCCCUCGUUGGAUUUGGGUCAAGUGUUUACAGAUUCAGGUCAACUCUCAGAGGAGCAGCCACCGAAAUUUGCUCCCAGGAUUGAACUCCUUAAAUAACACGGCUCUCCUUCCAGGCUUGGAGGCGAUCACAAUUUUUCAGCUCUUUCCUGUGUGUUUCUGAAUGUGCUCCGUAUUUGAAGGAGGAGAAAAAGCCGCAAGGUUCUGCUCUUUUCCUCUGUUGUUCGACAUUCCUCCGAGAUGAGACCUUCUACCUUCAUCCCUGGCCAAGCCCCACCGCCAGCUCCCUGGGUGGUGCGUGGCUGCUCGCCCCUGCAUCCAGGAGGCCGCAGCUGCAGCGCGUGGUGAGCCCGCGCUCCUUCCCUGCCUCCCCGCCUGUCAGAGCUUUCUAGGAAGGCAACGUCCUUCUCCCAGGUGGUCACCAGCAAACCCCACAAGCACUCACCCAACCAAGAGCAAGCCCUAGCCUGCUGUGAAGCUGUGGGGAGCUGGGGGUCAGCCUCUUC
Molecule: long non-coding RNA, 1301 nt
Filed under: Anas zonorhyncha (Eastern spot-billed duck)
Lineage: Eukaryota; Metazoa; Chordata; Aves; Anseriformes; Anatidae
Description: lncRNA (ENSAZOG00000008649.1)
Source: RNAcentral